CCAGAGUUGUGUCCUCCCUCAUAUCCCGGAAGUGAAGGCUCUGAAUGACUACAACUCCCAGUACAGAAGAGGUUGCCCUUGCGAGGAGGCGGAGGAGACAGGCCAUCGAGCAUUUCGGGACUUGGAGUUUUCGCACUGCUUGUGGUUUCCGCAGGUUUUAGCGCGCGGUUUUGGGUAGUGGCUGGAGAAGUGGCGCUAAAUUAGAGAACUGGUGUAUUGUGUAGUAUAGGCUAGGCAAAUAAUUCGAUUUUAAGUAAUCCUUAUUGCACACCAUUCCUUCAGAAAUGUGGAAAAACAAGCAGUCUCCUCUUUUCUAAUUUGACCUUAGGCAAACUAGGAAAAGACCAGAAAGAAUCGGAAGAAAUCCUAAUAUAAGGGAAAGAGCAGUGGUCUGAGAUGGCAAAUUCUGGGUGCUUGUUCUAGAAAGCUCUUUGCCCUGAGCUAAUAUCUGCUGCCAAUCCUCCUCUUUUUCCUGAGGAAGACUGGCCCUGAGCUAACAUCCGUG
Molecule: long non-coding RNA, 505 nt
Filed under: Equus caballus (horse)
Lineage: Eukaryota; Metazoa; Chordata; Mammalia; Perissodactyla; Equidae
Description: lncRNA (ENSECAG00000059417.1)
Source: RNAcentral